AAGGUGUGCUCCCAAGGCAAUAACACAACAUGGAAUCCAUGUUUGGUUUUGAUUUGGCGGUGGGGUGUUAGCCUCUAACAAUUGGAUUGAAUUAUUUCCUGGGCACAGCUCGUCGACGCAUUCCCUACCGUCCACUGACCACAGAUAUACCCUCCGGCAUGGGAAAAGCGUCGCCAAACAGGCAGACGCAGGACAAAUCGAGAGGUGACACCAAACCCUGUGAACCACUGAUUAGGUGUCUGAAAAUACUCCAUGAAGCACUGAAUGUGUCGUCUUUGAGCGCCAUGGUAUCACGGUUGGAGAUAAUGGCCAAACAGAGAGGGAUGGGGUCCCACCUGAGCCCCACUGAGACAACCUGUUACCUCACAGCUGACAUGUUCUACCUAGAGGUCCUACUACUGCCUGGCGGAGAGGUGGAGGAUGUGAAAUUGGCCCAACAUGGAGAAGCCCCUGUGUCAAGCGAGUCACUUCUUCAACUGCUAAAGUAAGAUGUAAUACAUAUGGUCUGACUAAUACAAUUUGUCAACUGAGGUCACCUGACAUUUAUUUUACCAAGUUCUAACAAAGUAUACAUUGUUGGCACUUCAGAUUACCCCCAUCUGUUUAUUACUGUACAGGUCAAAGAAGUUUGAAGAAUUCUCAGUGAAACUGAAAGGCCUUUCCUCCCUGUACAACAUCCCUGGAGACAAUGAGACCAAGAUCAAGGUCUACACAGCCCUGCAGUUCUUGGGGAAAGAUCUACAGAAGAUAUCCCAUUUGCCAAGAGCAUUAAGGGAGUGCAAUCUUCAAGUGGACAUGAUUCUCAAUGGCAGGAUUGGCUAUCUUACGGCAGGGAGCGAAGGUAUCCCAAUGACUAUCCAAUACUACAUCAGCCCUUCUGACAUUCUGUUGGAGAUGUCCGAUUCAGAAAGGGGCAGUAUUGGCCAGUUGGCCUUGGUGACAGUGGGGCCAAGUGACUCUACACACAGGCUCCAGAUGGCAUCUGUCAUCCCACAGCCACCUCAGCUUGAUGCCCAGGGUCUACCAUUGUUCAGUCCUCUCUGUGAGGUGCUCUCUGAAAUGAUGCCAGCCUGCUUCCAGCUCAAACUGCAGCCACCCCUACCAAUGCUCUCUUCCUUUGUUGAGAAGCUCAGCCAAAUUACAGAUGUUGCCAUAGCUGAUGCUGACCUGCAGUGGGCACCUUUUCCCCAGUUGAUGAUGACCUUAUUAGGGGAGAAUGGUGGCAAGAAAACAUGGGAUGGCCAAGAUGCCCACUUUCUAGUGCAUUCCAUCAUUUUGACACACCGGUCUUCUCCAUCCAGCCCCUCCCAGGUAAAGAGAUACAUAGCUAUGUGCUGCCGGGGGCUGCAUGGGAAGAAGCUGCUCUGAGGGGGACGCUGAUGAGUACCAUUCCCUUUACCCACCCCGCCCAUGUCCCUGCCCUACUGGAGCUGCUCCGCCACCAGUGUGCAAUUAACACUCUACUGGCCAGCUGCAUUACCUCUCUCAGGCCUAGCCCAGGUCCAGUGUGUGACCUAUACUGCGAAGUCCUCCCUGAGUCAGGUUCUAGCCUCUCUGUGACCUUUCACCUAUCUGACAGUGACUCUCUAUCUGUUUUGCUGGUGAAUGUGGCAGACUCCCGGAAGCUCACCUGCAGUCUGUUUGCAGUGGGGUCAGAAUCCAUGGAUGAAUAUGUCUCCAGAGUCCUAAAGAGAUGUAUGUCUAUUCCUGUGACCAUGCGUGCCUUGAAUCGGAGGCUGUCCAAGAGGACCUGUGGAGAACCUCUACCUGCAUGCUCUGCCACCAUAUCCACUGCAGAUGUCAGCCCUGCUUCUCCUCUCCCCAUGUCCUGUGAGGCUGACGGCAGUCUCUCUUCUGGCUCUGGCCUGGAGUCCAUUGGCAUCCCUACUACCUCCUCUACCGCUGCCGUAUUCUCCCAGGAUGCAAUGGGGACGGAUACCACCGCAACGGCGGCGGAGUCUGCCUUCUGUCUGUCUGUUGCUGAAGUCAAUACAAACCCUACUGCCAACCCUUACCCCUGUGCCUCGGUGUGUGUGUAUUCACAAUGGAUGCACAACAACCAUCUCCCAGAACUUAUCUAGUCAGUUCAAUGCGUGACCCUCAAAGGGGUUAAAAUGUUUACGUGAUAUUUUUAUUGAAUGGUUCUAAAAAAUAAAGUCUUUUGACCUAUUA
Oncorhynchus kisutch (coho salmon) is the source of this 2172-nucleotide RNA transcript. It is a transcript of the gene named mediator complex subunit 1-like, with no coding region annotated. NCBI's taxonomy places the organism in Eukaryota, Metazoa, Chordata, Actinopteri, Salmoniformes, Salmonidae. The transcript has 15 exons. The record is from RefSeq and is a predicted model, not a curated record.